RNAcentral lists this ribosomal RNA (271 nucleotides) under uncultured bacterium. Its description in RNAcentral is "partial 16S ribosomal RNA". It matches the Rfam family "Bacterial small subunit ribosomal RNA", at positions 524 to 794 of the family's 1533-position model. The record is from RNAcentral.
UACGUAGGGCGCGAGCGUUGUCCGGAAUCAUUGGGCGUAAAGCGCGUGUAGGCGGCUUAGUAAGUCUACUGUGAAAGUCCAGGGCUCAACCCUGGAAUGUCGGUGGAUACUGCUGAGCUGGAGUACGGGAGGGGCGAGUGGAAUUCCUGGUGUAGCGGUGGAAUGCGCAGAUAUCAGGAGGAACACCUAUGGCGAAGGCAGCUCGCUGGAACGUUACUGACGCUGAGACGCGAAAGCGUGGGGAGCAAACAGGAUUAGAUACCCUAGUAGU